CACCGCGGUUAGACGAGCAGGCCCAAGUUGUUAAUUACCGGCGUAAAGGGUGGUUAAAACUAGAAAUUACUAAAGCCGAAGGCCUAUCAGAGCCGUUAUACGCUUCCGAAGGUAUGAAGCUCAACCACGAAAGUGGCUUUAUUACAUUUGACCCCACGAAAGCUAGGGCA
This 170-nucleotide ribosomal RNA is filed under the name Grammatonotus surugaensis (double lined mackerel). RNAcentral's name for it is "partial 12S ribosomal RNA". Lineage: Eukaryota; Metazoa; Chordata; Actinopteri; Callanthiidae. The record is from RNAcentral.